AGUGAAUAGAUACCCCGGUAGUCCACGCUGUAAACGAUGCGAACUAGGUGUUGGUAGUAUUAAACCUAUCAGUGCCGAAAGCUAAACGCGAUAAGUUCGCCGCCUGGGGACUACGGCCGCAAGGCUAAAACUCAAAGGAAUUGACGGGGGCCCGGCACAAGCAGCGGAGCGUGUGGUUUAAAUUCGAUGCAACACGAAGAACCUUACCUGGGCUUGACAUGGUCGUAGUAGUGAAGCGAAAGCGGAACGAGCCUUCGGGCAGCGAUCACAGGUGCUGCAUGGCUGUCGUCAGCUCGUGUCGUGAGAUGUUGGG
This 313-nucleotide ribosomal RNA is filed under the name uncultured bacterium. Its description in RNAcentral is "bacterial SSU rRNA". It matches the Rfam family "Bacterial small subunit ribosomal RNA", at positions 773 to 1079 of the family's 1533-position model. The record is from RNAcentral.